This 72-nucleotide transfer RNA is filed under the name Camelus ferus (Wild Bactrian camel). It matches the Rfam family "tRNA". From Rfam's summary of the family: Transfer RNA (tRNA) molecules are approximately 80 nucleotides in length. The record is from Rfam by way of RNAcentral. Lineage: Eukaryota; Metazoa; Chordata; Mammalia; Artiodactyla; Camelidae.
GUCAGUGUAGCUCAGUGGUAGAGUGCAUGCUUAGCAUGAAUGAGGUCCUGGGUUCAAUCCCCAGUACCACCA